CAUAUUGGUGAAACUAUAAAAUGUCUAUGAUUGCAUGAAAGAAGUUAGUGUUGACCCAACCAUACCCCUCACCUUCUAAAUACUAAACCCUAAAUUCCAGUCACUAAACCCUAAUCCAAAUAUACCCUAAACGCUAAACCUAAAUAAAUAGAUUAAGCUAAACCCUAAUCAAGGAAGUAUAAACCCAAAUAGAAUGUAUAUAAUAUGGUUUACUAUACCCAAACAUUUACUUAGUAAAUCUAAACCCUAGGCAAGAACCUAUAAACCAAAAUUCAAAUAUAAACACAAAACCCAAAUAGAAUGGAACAAAAUAUAUAACAUAGUACAUAUUACUGAAACUAUAAAAUGUCUAUGAUUGCAUGAAAGAAGUUAACGCUGACCCCAACCAUACCCCCUCACCUUCUAAAUACUAAACCCUAAAUUCUAGUCACUAAUCACCCUAAUCACUAAGUAUUAUAGAAAUACUAAAACCACAUCCAUAAUCUUUAAAUACUAAACACUAUCCCAACUCCUAAAUACUAUGGCUAUCACUAAACCCAAACCUCAACCCCUACCUUCCAAAUACUAAACCCUAAAUUU
This 579-nucleotide long non-coding RNA is filed under the name Brassica napus (rape). Its description in RNAcentral is "long non-coding RNA (BNAP_LNC008847)". Lineage: Eukaryota; Viridiplantae; Streptophyta; Magnoliopsida; Brassicales; Brassicaceae. The record is from RNAcentral.